UACGUAGGUGGCGAGCGUUGUCCGGAUUUACUGGGCGUAAAGGGCUUGUAGGCGGUCCGCUAAGUCUGGUGUGAAAUCUCCCGGCUCAACCGGGAGGGGUCAUUGGAAACUGGCGGACUUGAGGGGGGUAGAGGAAAGCAGAAUUCCUGGUGUAGCGGUGAAAUGCGUAGAUAUCAGGAGGAAUACCAGUGGCGAAGGCGGCUUUCUGGGCCUACCCUGACGCUGAGGAGCGAAAGCGUGGGGAGCAAACCGG
This 253-nucleotide ribosomal RNA is filed under the name uncultured bacterium. RNAcentral's name for it is "partial 16S ribosomal RNA". It matches the Rfam family "Bacterial small subunit ribosomal RNA", at positions 524 to 776 of the family's 1533-position model. The record is from RNAcentral.